AGUGUAAUAGCUCAGUGGUAGAGUGCGUGCUUAGCAUGCAUGAGGUACAGGGUUCAAACCCCAGUACUU
Molecule: transfer RNA, 69 nt
Filed under: Camelus bactrianus (Bactrian camel)
Lineage: Eukaryota; Metazoa; Chordata; Mammalia; Artiodactyla; Camelidae
Also listed under: 1 other name
Rfam family: tRNA
About the family: Transfer RNA (tRNA) molecules are approximately 80 nucleotides in length. Their secondary structure includes four short double-helical elements and three loops (D, anti-codon, and T loops).
Source: Rfam by way of RNAcentral